GACGAACGCUGGCGGCGUGCUUAACACAUGCAAGUCGAACGGAAAGGCCCUGCUUUUGUGGGGUGCUCGAGUGGCGAACGGGUGAGUAACACGUGAGUAACCUGCCCUUGACUUUGGGAUAACUUCAGGAAACUGGGGCUAAUACCGGAUAGGAGCUCCUGCUGCAUGGUGGGGGUUGGAAAGUUUCGGCGGUUGGGGAUGGACUCGCGGCUUAUCAGCUGGUUGGUGGGGUAGUGGCUUACCAAGGCUUUGACGGGUAGCCGGCCUGAGAGGGUGACCGGCCACAUUGGGACUGAGGUGCGGCCCAGACGCCUACGGGAGGCAGCAGUGGGGAAUAUUGCACAAUGGGCGGAAGCCUGAUGCAGCAACGCCGCGUGCGGGAUGACGGCCUUCGGGUUGUAAACCGCUUUCGCCUGUGACGAAGCGUGAGUGACGGUAAUGGGUAAAGAAGCACCGGCUAACUACGUG
Molecule: ribosomal RNA, 468 nt
Filed under: uncultured bacterium
Lineage: Bacteria
Description: partial 16S ribosomal RNA
Rfam family: Bacterial small subunit ribosomal RNA
Source: RNAcentral